GACGAACGCUGGCGGCGUGCUUAACACAUGCAAGUCGAACGGAAAGGCCUGCUUUCCCUUGUGGAUUGCGGGUACUCGAGUGGCGAACGGGUGAGUAACACGUGAGUGAUCUGCCCCCAACUUGGGUAUAAGCCUGGGAAACUGGGUCUAAUUCCCGAUAGGACUGCAGGGUGGUGCCUGUGGUGGAAAACGAUUUUCUAGUGGUUGGGGAUGAGCUCGCGGCCUAUCAGCUUGUUGGUGGGGUAAUGGCCGACCAAGGCGGCGACGGGUAGCCGGCCUGAGAGGGUGGACGGGCACAUUGGGACUGAGAUACGGGACAGACUCCUACGGGAGGCAGCAGUGGGGAAUAUUGCACAAUGGGCGGAAGCCUGAUGCAGCGACGCCGCGUGGGGGAUGGCGGCCUUCGGGUUGUAAACUCCUUUCGACCGCGAGGAAGCCACCUGGUUGGAAGGGUGGUGACGGUAGUGGUAGAAGAAGCACCGGCUAACUACGUG
Molecule: ribosomal RNA, 494 nt
Filed under: uncultured bacterium
Lineage: Bacteria
Description: partial 16S ribosomal RNA
Rfam family: Bacterial small subunit ribosomal RNA
Source: RNAcentral